RNAcentral lists this long non-coding RNA (265 nucleotides) under Lathyrus oleraceus (garden pea). Its description in RNAcentral is "Pisum sativum (pea) long non-coding RNA (PSAT_LNC001337)". The record is from RNAcentral. Lineage: Eukaryota; Viridiplantae; Streptophyta; Magnoliopsida; Fabales; Fabaceae.
AAUUGAUUUCUGACCUUGGUUUUCGGAUUGGUCCUUAGACCCCUUUCCUGAACCACUUGCAUUCGCGUUAUCAUGCUUUUUGCCGGAACGACAAUCCUUCUUGAAGUGGCCUGUUUUGCCACACUUCCAGCAUUCUAGUUUCGGUUUCUUGUUAGCACCGAAACUUCCCUUAUUGUUCUUGAAAGCACGCUUCUUUCCUUUGUUUUUGUUGUUACCGUUCUUACCACCCUCUUCGACCAUAUUAACCGAGGGUCCAACAAUUUCU